Molecule: long non-coding RNA, 1687 nt
Organism: Papaver somniferum (opium poppy)
Lineage: Eukaryota; Viridiplantae; Streptophyta; Magnoliopsida; Ranunculales; Papaveraceae
Exons: 7
Source: RefSeq, a predicted model, not a curated record
AUAAAUACAAUAUGUAUAUUUAUUUUGAGGUUUUGAAUAGUGUCUUAAGACAAUAAGCUCACUAUCUUUUCACUGGCAUACUGUAAAUCAAAUUACUAGAAGUUCUGGAUCGGCAUUAGGUUUGUAGUAUCAUGCCAUACCAUUUUAUACUUGUUUUUGUUGCUCACUAUCAUAAAUGUGUAGUUCAUAGAAACUUUUGAAGUGAAUUUAUUGUAUUAAAUAUCCAUUAUUGACAAAUGAUUCGUCAAGCGAUGGCGGCUUUUGUUGAGGCAAAAUCAAGGGGCACAAGUGCAUUCCAUAGGAAGGAGUAUUGGCUAGCAGUGUAUUGGUAGACAGAGGGAAUAUUCACAUUUAUAUUAGAAAUGUGCAUUUGCCAUAUCAUGAUCUAGAAACGAAAUAGGGUACAAGCCUUCAUUUUUCUUUUGGCAAAGAAAGCAUUAAGAGGUUUUGGGGAGAUUCUUGUUCAAGUGAAGAAAUUUGUUGAAAGAAAAGAGAUGGGUGAUGUGCAGUCAAUACUACCACGGGAGAUUAUUUAGGCCUGUUGCACACUGUCAAUGGUCAGAUGGUAGGAAGAUCAGAAGCUGAAAAUGUGUACAUGGGCAAAUGAUUUUCAAAGGAUCACGAUAACAUGAAUUGUUGUCGCAUUUGCUUAAAUGGUUUCAUAGAGAAUCCCAUUGACAACUAUGAGUUUUGGAUAUAUUGAGAGCUAAAUGCAGUCCUCAGAAAAGAAUUCAAGAAGCAAGGGGCACUGGCUAAAAAAGGCUCUGUAGGAUGGAAAGGUACGGCACUGAGAAAGAAGAAAUAGAUUUGCUAUCAAAGAAGCUCUUAAUAAAAGUAAUUUCGCAUUUGGAGUCGUUGAUCAUCAACUAAAGUUGUGUCUUCACGUUCCCCAACCAACCUUUCAGAAACGAAAGACGAAAGGAGUACUAAGCGAUUCAAUCGUUUUAUCAAACUUUCAUAUUUGCAACUGUGCACAAUUGAAUAUUUAUCAAUGUUGUUUAGAACUUGAAGCAUAAAAUUGCCUUAACAGGUUUGAUAGAGUGGAAUCUUUAAAAAAACAAUCGAAAAUGGAAAGUGCUGGUUGCCAUCUCCAGAUGUUUCUGAACCAGAGCAUUUAGGGAGGACACGGGAUCUAAAGCAUAGUGACGCAAUCUCUUUUGAAGAGAGAAAAAAUAACCAUAUAUUGUUUUUCAGAUAUGAAAGUAGGCACGACAAAAACGUUGAUAUGGAAGCUGUUCAUCUGUUUAGAUAGAUCCACAUAAGUUUAAUCUCUUUAUAUAAGUUGAUGAGCUAUCUAAAUAUAUGCAUAAACUCAUUCAUAUUGUAUGAAUUAUUAUAAUGCAAAAUUUCUGGUAGUCGUGAUUGCUAAUUUAUUGCUUGACUCGACAGGACCAAAAGGAAGAGCUCAAGAUGCAGAGAAGAGUUGGAGGAAUGUGAGGUGCGGGCACUUCAGUUAGCGGGACAAUGCGGUUAAUGUAAGGAGAAUUCAACUCUAACUAUUGCUGCCAUGAUGGUCUCAGUGUGGUAUUUACCAUAGUACUUGGGCAUAAAGUUGCUUGGUUUCCCUUUAUCGCAGCUUUAUUUGUUCGUGAACUAUGAACCUUACUUGCAAUGUUGCAACUUGUGUUACUUAUCCGAAUCAAGAUUUGUACAAUGUGUUAAAUGUAAGAAUGAGCUGUCUGUUUAA